CCUCUAUCCCCCAGCCUUACGGCACAUGGCCAUCCAUCUCUUUAAAUCGCCAUGGCCAAUUUUCUGAUUUUAUAUAUUUUCAUGAAUGUUUCCAAAAUUCAUAAAUUUGCAUAAGGAUAUAUCAGACAUUUUUGCUACCACAUUAACCCACCAGCCUUCAUAACUCCAACUUAAAGUAAUAGUUAAGUGAUACCGUCUUCAUUUGUGAAAAUCUAUAAUGCAUACAGGAUGUGGUACCAUUUUGUUAUCUUGGAUACUUCAAAAUCAUAUUUUAAAGACCGAGUUGUACAUGUCAUUUGUACAAAACAUAUUCUCUGGUCAGCUUGCUUUGUGCUUGCUGUGUG
RNAcentral lists this long non-coding RNA (344 nucleotides) under Bos taurus (domestic cattle). Its description in RNAcentral is "long non-coding RNA NONBTAT012146". The record is from RNAcentral. Lineage: Eukaryota; Metazoa; Chordata; Mammalia; Artiodactyla; Bovidae.